This 326-nucleotide ribosomal RNA is filed under the name uncultured Bacteroidota bacterium. RNAcentral describes it as "bacterial SSU rRNA". It matches the Rfam family "Bacterial small subunit ribosomal RNA", at positions 28 to 351 of the family's 1533-position model. The record is from RNAcentral. Lineage: Bacteria; Pseudomonadati; Bacteroidota.
GAUGAACGCUAGCGGCAGGCUUAAUACAUGCAAGUCGUACGGUAGAGGAUGUAGCAAUACGUUCUUGAGAGUGGCGCACGGGUGCGUAACGCGUAUGCAACCUACCUAAAACCGGGACACAACCCUUCGAAAGGCGGGCUAAUAUCCCAUAACACUGCGGAGUGGCAUCAUUUUGCAGUUAAAACUCUGGUGGUUUUAGAUGGGCAUGCGUGACAUUAGCUAGUUGGUGGGGUUACGGCUCACCAAGGCAACGAUGUCUAGGGGUUCUGAGAGGAUAGUCCCCCACACUGGUACUGAGACACGGACCAGACUCCUACGGGAGGCAG